AUCUAUGGCCAUGCUACCCUCAGCAAGCCCAAUCGUGUCUGAUCUUGAAAGCUAAGCGGAGUCAGACCUGGUUAGUACUUGUAUGGGAGACCACCUAGGAAGACCAGAUGCUGUAGGCA
RNAcentral lists this ribosomal RNA (119 nucleotides) under Pteropus alecto (black flying fox). Lineage: Eukaryota; Metazoa; Chordata; Mammalia; Chiroptera; Pteropodidae. The record is from RNAcentral.